Clupea harengus (Atlantic herring) is the source of this 2273-nucleotide long non-coding RNA. The record is from Ensembl. NCBI's taxonomy places the organism in Eukaryota, Metazoa, Chordata, Actinopteri, Clupeiformes, Clupeidae.
GCCUUUUGCCCUCGUUUUUGUAUCUUCUGUGUUUUUGGAUUACCACUGUCUUGCAAUAAACCAUCCUUUUCAACAUCCUGCAACUGGGUCCUCUCAUUAGCACACUGGGCUAAGCGCUGGUUCCCCACAUCCAGCAUCUCGGGUUCAAUCCCCGAGAAAAGCCUGACAGAACGACCCCAUCAACAUGGACCCAGCAGGUAGUGCCCAACAGGGAUGCAAGAAGUUGGCGCAGACGUUGAAGAAGCUGCUUCAGCGCGAGCAGGUCUUGCUGCAGCUGCAGAAGGAUCUCGACCGCCAGCAGGAGGAUCUAGCUCGUCGCCAGCAACUACUGCACCGUCGGCAACAACUGGACCAACCUCCCCCGUGGUUCCCACUCUACGAUGGCAAUCCUGGUGGCUGCAGAGGUUUUCUCCUCAAAUUCGAUCUGGAGUGCAGCCGCCGGCCCAUCACCCUCUCCUCCGACCGGUCGAGGAUUGCCUACAUGAUAAUCUUGCUUUCAGGCAAGGCCUUGACAUUGGCAACCGCUUUGUGGGAGAAGCAAGGCCCCGAGUGCUCCAGCCUCAGGGCUUUUCAGGCGGUGCUGUUGUGGGUCUACGACCGGGUUAGCAUGGACAGCUUCGAGGCCGCCAUUGCCUCUGCUCUGAAGAGAGAUGCGGCCCGUAACCCUGCUCUCCCAGUGACGGCAGCUGCCGUUCCUGAAGCCGCGCUUCCAGAGGCACCCAGCCUGGAUGCAGCAGUCCUGGACGCUCCCAGUCCGAGUGAACCUGGCAGCCCAGAGGCUGCCAGCUCGGAUGCCCCCAGUCUCAGUGCACCAGGCAGCCCGGAGGCCGCCAGUCCGGAUGCCGAAGCCCCAGAUACCGCCAGCCCGAGUGAGCCAGGCAGUCUUGAGGCCGACAGCCCGAAUGCUGCCAGCCCAAGUGAACCAGGCAGCCCGGAUGCCGACGCCCCAGAUACCGCCAGCCCGAGUGAGCCAGGUAGUCUGGAGGCCCACAGCCCGGAUGACGAAGCCCCAGAUACCUGCAGCCCCGGUGAACCAGGCAGCCCCGAUGCCGCCACUCCCGGUGAACCAGGCAGCUCCGAUGCCUCCAGCCCCGGUGAACCAAGCAGCCCCGAUGCUGCUGCCGACCCGGACUCCGCAGCCGCCCCCGCUGCCGACCCGGACCCCGCAGCCGCCCCCGCUGCCGACCCGGACCCCGCAGCCGCCCCCGCUGUCGACCCGGACGCCGCAGUCUCCGCUGUCGACCCGGACCCCGCAGUCUCCGCUGCCGACCCGGACCCCGCAGCCUCCGCUGCCGACCCGGACGCCACAGUCUCCGCUGUCGACCCGGACCCCGCAGUCUCCGCUGUCGACCCGGACGGCGCAGUCUCCGCUGUCGACCCGGACCCCGCAGUCUCCGCUGCCGACCCGGACCCCGCUGCCGACCCACACCUCGCAGUCUCCGCUCCAGGCGCCCCUGUCCUGAGCGCCCCUGUCCUGAGCGCUCCAGUCCCAGGUGCCCCUGUCUUCCUCCCAGGCAUCUGUGUUCCAGGCGUUCCUGCCCCAGGUGCUCCUGGUCCUGUCCCAGGUGCUCCUGGUCCUGUCCCAGGUGCUCCUGGUCCUGUCCCAGGUGUCCCUAUCUCCAGUGUCCUAGGUGCUGCGACUGCUCCAGCCACUGGUCCUGCAACCGUCGCUGACCCAGCAACCCCAGCCACAGCUGGUGCUGCAACCCCGACCUCAUCCUCUGACUGCAUCUUCGCGAGCCUGGCCAAGGGGAUGAUUCUUGUUCUCGUCGGUUCCAACAAGGCCCCCAGGCGUCUGUCAGACCCUUCGCCUCAUUCUGGUCGCCCACCAGGUCGCCCACCAGACACUCUGCCCCUGCUUGGGCGCCCGCCUGGCCGCCCACCAGACACUCUGCCCCUGCUUGGCCGCCCGCCCGGCCGCCCACCAGAUACUCUGUCCUGGUUCGGUCGUCCACCCGGCCGGCCACCUGACCCUUGGUUCUUGCCCUCCGGCCUUGUCCUUAACCCCCUCCACCCACCCUUUAUGGACUUUUGGAGUUUUCUUUGGGCCGUCUGGAAGCCGACCCUUAGAGGGGGGGUUCUGUCACGACUUCGGGCAACCGUUUGUCACAUUGGCGGCCUCUGGUGGCCAAAGGACAUUAUGAACUAAUUUGUGUCCAUGUGCCUUUGUUGUCUUUGUGUGCCCUCACCUGUUCCCCAUUGUGAUUUGUGUUCUCACCUGUUCCCCAUUGUGUGCUCUCACCUGUCUUGCGUUUUUGUGAUUGUCACUUCCC